CCCGGAAAAGCCGCAGUGGUUUCGGUGUUCUGCAGUACCACGGGAGCAGUGGGGUACAGCGGGUGGACGUCAUCAUGAAGGCACCCAUUGAGUGGACGGCCCAGAUGGUUCAGGUUUCCUCUUUGUCAAAACUUAGAACCACGCGUCAAGGUGAAGUACGGAAGGCCGUCCGGUGCAGUGGUACCGCACUGCGCUCAACUUUAAGGUGGUCUAGUUGUUUCCAACCAAUCAGGAGCCGAUGCCGCGACAUGACGGGAGGCUCGCCGCUCGGUUUCGGC
Molecule: long non-coding RNA, 278 nt
Filed under: Elaeis guineensis (African oil palm)
Lineage: Eukaryota; Viridiplantae; Streptophyta; Magnoliopsida; Arecales; Arecaceae
Description: long non-coding RNA (EGUI_LNC056154)
Source: RNAcentral